CCUACGGGGGGCAGCAGUGGGGAAUAUUGGACAAUGGGGGGAACCCUGAUCCAGCCAUGCCGCGUGUGUGAAGAAGGCCCUCGGGUUGUAAAGCACUUUCAGUGAGGAAGAACGCCUGGUGGUUAAUACCCAUCAGGAAAGACAUCACUCACAGAAGAAGCACCGGCUAACUCCGUGCCAGCAGCCGCGGUAAUACGGAGGGUGCGAGCGUUAAUCGGAAUUACUGGGCGUAAAGCGCGCGUAGGUGGCUUGAUAAGCCGGUUGUGAAAGCCCCGGGCUCAACCUGGGAACUGCAUCCGGAACUGUCAAGCUAGAGUGCAGGAGAGGAAGGUAGAAUUCCCGGUGUAGCGGUGAAAUGCGUAGAGAUCGGGAGGAAUACCAGUGGCGAAGGCGGCCUUCUGGACUGACACUGACACUGAGGUGCGAAAGCGUGGGUAGCAAACAGGAUUAGAUACCCUGGUAGUC
RNAcentral lists this ribosomal RNA (465 nucleotides) under Vreelandella stevensii. RNAcentral's name for it is "partial 16S ribosomal RNA". It matches the Rfam family "Bacterial small subunit ribosomal RNA", at positions 338 to 795 of the family's 1533-position model. The record is from RNAcentral. Lineage: Bacteria; Pseudomonadati; Pseudomonadota; Gammaproteobacteria; Oceanospirillales; Halomonadaceae.